AUUCCUACGGGAGGCAGCAGUGGGGAAUAUUGGACAAUGGGCGAAAGCCUGAUCCAGCCAUGCCGCGUGUGUGAAGAAGGUCCUUCGGAUUGUAAAGCACUUUAAGUUGGGAGGAAGGGCAGUAAGUUAAUACCUUGCUGUUUUGACGUUACCGACAGAAUAAGCACCGGCUAACUCUGUGCCAGCAGCCGCGGUAAU
Molecule: ribosomal RNA, 198 nt
Filed under: uncultured Pseudomonas sp.
Lineage: Bacteria; Pseudomonadati; Pseudomonadota; Gammaproteobacteria; Pseudomonadales; Pseudomonadaceae
Description: partial 16S ribosomal RNA
Rfam family: Bacterial small subunit ribosomal RNA
Source: RNAcentral